This 75-nucleotide antisense RNA is filed under the name Streptomyces bingchenggensis BCW-1. Its description in RNAcentral is "ASpks TB sRNA". It matches the Rfam family "ASpks TB sRNA". Lineage: Bacteria; Bacillati; Actinomycetota; Actinomycetes; Kitasatosporales; Streptomycetaceae. The record is from Rfam by way of RNAcentral.
CUUGACCGUACCGAGCCACAGCGCCCGGUCCGCCGGCCGCCCCUGCCCGUAGGUGGCGAGCAGGGCCUGGGCCUC